CCUACGGGUGGCAGCAGUGGGGAAUAUUGGGCAAUGGGCGCAAGCCUGACCCAGCAACGCCGCGUGAAGGAAGAAGGCUUUCGGGUUGUAAACUUCUUUUGACAGGGAAGAGUAGAAGACGGUACCUGCCGAAUAAGCUACGGCUAACUACGUGCCAGCAGCCGCGGUAAUACGUAGGUGGCAAGCGUUGUCCGGAUUUACUGGGUGUAAAGGGCGUGUAGCCGGGUUGACAAGUCAGUUGUGAAAUCCUGCGGCUUAACCGCAGAACUGCAUUUGAAACUGGUGGUCUUGAGUACAGUAGAGGCAGACGGAAUUCCUAGUGUAGCGGUGAAAUGCGUAGAUAUUAGGAAGAACACCAGUGGCGAAGGCAGUCUGCUGGACAGCAACUGACGGUGAGGCGCGAAAGCGUGGGGAGCAAACAGGAUUAGAUACCCGGGUAGUC
Molecule: ribosomal RNA, 442 nt
Filed under: uncultured bacterium
Lineage: Bacteria
Description: partial 16S ribosomal RNA
Rfam family: Bacterial small subunit ribosomal RNA
Source: RNAcentral